UGGUCUUGACAUCCAGAGAACCCUGCAGAGAUGCGGGGGUGCCUUCGGGAGCUCUGAGAC
This 60-nucleotide ribosomal RNA is filed under the name uncultured organism. RNAcentral describes it as "partial 16S ribosomal RNA". The record is from RNAcentral.